This 243-nucleotide long non-coding RNA is filed under the name Daucus carota (carrot). RNAcentral describes it as "long non-coding RNA (DCAR_LNC003522)". Lineage: Eukaryota; Viridiplantae; Streptophyta; Magnoliopsida; Apiales; Apiaceae. The record is from RNAcentral.
UUUAACUUCAGUGUUAGUCGCUUGUGAACCAGACCAGUGCACUAAGCGUCAGCACGUACGGAGCUUUGCAAAGUAUUUAUCGAUCGAAGAAUUGAUCCAGUCAUAUCAAGUCAUUUGUUCCACAGCCAAGCCAAGCCAAAUGCCAGCUAUGCCAAAGCUUACUGCUCAAAUGCCAUAUGUCAAAGCUUCCACAGAAAGCCAUAUCAGGAAGUGACAUUUUAUAUAUGUGUGCACUUAUAUAUU